CUUUAGCUCAGUUGGUUAGAGCAGACGGCUCAUAACCGUCCGGUCGUAGGUUCGAGUCCUACAAGGUCCA
RNAcentral lists this transfer RNA (70 nucleotides) under Enterococcus hirae. Its description in RNAcentral is "tRNA-Ile". It matches the Rfam family "tRNA". From Rfam's summary of the family: Transfer RNA (tRNA) molecules are approximately 80 nucleotides in length. Lineage: Bacteria; Bacillati; Bacillota; Bacilli; Lactobacillales; Enterococcaceae. The record is from RNAcentral.